RNAcentral lists this transfer RNA (81 nucleotides) under Alosa alosa (allis shad). RNAcentral's name for it is "tRNA-OTHER". It matches the Rfam family "tRNA". From Rfam's summary of the family: Transfer RNA (tRNA) molecules are approximately 80 nucleotides in length. Their secondary structure includes four short double-helical elements and three loops (D, anti-codon, and T loops). Further hydrogen bonds mediate the characteristic L-shaped molecular structure. tRNAs have two regions of fundamental functional importance: the anti-codon, which is responsible for specific mRNA codon recognition, and the 3' end, to which the tRNAs corresponding amino acid is attached (by aminoacyl-tRNA synthetases). tRNAs cope with the degeneracy of the genetic code in two manners: having more than one tRNA (with a specific anti-codon) for a particular amino acid; and 'wobble' base-pairing, i.e. permitting non-standard base-pairing at the 3rd anti-codon position. Lineage: Eukaryota; Metazoa; Chordata; Actinopteri; Clupeiformes; Clupeidae. The record is from RNAcentral.
GUGGUGGUAGUUUAGUGGUUAAGGAACUGGGUUAGUAUGCAGUAGCCUGAAAAGUUUUGGGUUCAAUUCCCAGCUUCCACA